Prevotella sp. S7 MS 2 is the source of this 140-nucleotide regulatory RNA element. It matches the Rfam family "Bacteroidete tryptophan peptide leader RNA". The record is from Rfam. Lineage: Bacteria; Pseudomonadati; Bacteroidota; Bacteroidia; Bacteroidales; Prevotellaceae.
AGAAUAAAAUAUUUGAAAUAAAGAAUAUGAAUAUAUCAAUAUCUACAGCAUGGUGGUGGCGUUUCUCAAGAUUGAAAAAGUCGUGAGUUACGAAGCCAUGUAGAUAUUUGAAUAGAAAAGAUACAUCACAGAGGCCUGUC